Molecule: unclassified non-coding RNA, 288 nt
Filed under: uncultured Gammaproteobacteria bacterium
Lineage: Bacteria; Pseudomonadati; Pseudomonadota; Gammaproteobacteria
Description: partial 16S-23S ribosomal RNA intergenic spacer
Source: RNAcentral
CCUCCUUAAACGAUACUCUGCUCAUCUCAGCUAAGUGCUCACACGAAUUACUUAAAUGCUAAUUACACAGACCCUCGCGGGUGCCUGUGACUUAACCGUCUCUGGCUUUAUUGUGUUGUUCUUUAAAAAUUUGGAUACAUGAGAAUUGAGAUUCUCAAGCGAACUUGUAGAUAGGCUUGAUCGAUAUUAUAUCAAUGACUCUAACCAUGAAAGUUUUUGUACUUCAUAGCUUGUAAGUACUAAGACGGUUUGGGGUUAUAUGGUCAAGUGAAUAAGUGUGCACGGUGG